GCCAGGUGUGGUGGCGCGCGCCUGUAGUCCCAGCUACUCAGGAGGCUGAGGCAGAAGAAUCGCUUGAACCUAGGAGAUGGAGGUUGCAGUGAGCCAAGAUUGCGCCACUGCACUCCAGCCUGGGUGACAGAGUGAGAUGCUGUCUCAA
This 148-nucleotide non-coding RNA is filed under the name Pan troglodytes (chimpanzee). The record is from Rfam by way of RNAcentral. Lineage: Eukaryota; Metazoa; Chordata; Mammalia; Primates; Hominidae.